Molecule: ribosomal RNA, 510 nt
Filed under: uncultured bacterium
Lineage: Bacteria
Description: partial 16S ribosomal RNA
Rfam family: Bacterial small subunit ribosomal RNA
Source: RNAcentral
GACGAACGCUGGCGGCGUGCUUAACACAUGCAAGUCGAACGAAGAGCGAUGGAAGCUUGCUUCUAUCAAUCUUAGUGGCGAACGGGUGAGUAACGCGUAAUCAACCUGUCCUUCAGAGGGGGACAACAGUUGGAAACGACUGCUAAUACCGCAUACGAUCUAAUCUCGGCAUCGAGGAUAGAUGAAAGGUGGCCUCUACAUGUAAGCUAUCACUGAAGGAGGGGAUUGCGUCUGAUUAGCUAGAUGGAGGGGUAACGGCCCACCAAGGCGAUGAUCAGUAGCCGGUCUGAGAGGAUGAGCGGCCACAUUGGGACUGUGACACGGCCCAGACUCCUACGGGAGGCAGCAGUGGGGAAUCGGCCGCAAUGGGCGGAAGUCUGACGGAACAACGCCGCGUGAGCGAUGACAGCCUUCGGGUUGGAAAGCUCUGUUAAUCGGGACGAAAGGCCUUCUUGCGAAUAGUGAGAAGGAUUGACGGUACCGGAAUAGAAAGCCACGGCUAACUACGUG